UACGAAGGGGGCUAGCGUUGCUCGGAAUCACUGGGCGUAAAGCGCACGUAGGCGGAUUUUUAAGUCAGGGGUGAAAUCCCGGAGCUCAACUCCAGAACUGCCUUUGAUACUGGGAAUCUAGAGUCCGGAAGAGGUGAGUGGAACUCCGAGUGUAGAGGUGAAAUUCGUAGAUAUUCGGAAGAACACCAGUGGCGAAGGCGGCUCACUGGUCCGGUACUGACGCUGAGGUGCGAAAGCGUGGGGAGCAAACAGG
RNAcentral lists this ribosomal RNA (253 nucleotides) under uncultured bacterium. RNAcentral describes it as "partial 16S ribosomal RNA". It matches the Rfam family "Bacterial small subunit ribosomal RNA", at positions 524 to 776 of the family's 1533-position model. The record is from RNAcentral.